AGCUCCAAUAGCGUAUAUUAAAGUUGUUGCGGUUAAAAAGCUCGUAGUUGGAUUUCUGUUGAGGACGGCCGGUCCGCACUAUGUGCGUGUAUCUGGUUCGGCCUCGGCAUCCUCUCGAAAGCCGUUUCUGCGCUUGAUUGCGUGGUUCGGACUUCGGGACUUUUACUUUGAGGAAAUUAGAGUGUUCACGGCAGGCAAGCGCCUUGAAUAUAUUAGCAUGGAAUAAUAAUAUAGGAUCUUGGUCCUAUUUUGUUGGUUUCUAGGGCUAAGAUAAUGAUUAAUAGGGACAAUUGGGGGCAUUCGUAUUAACGCGUCAGAGGUGGAAUUCUUGGAUUGCGUUACGACGAACUACUGCGAAAGCAUUUGCCAAGGAUGUUUUCA
This 381-nucleotide ribosomal RNA is filed under the name uncultured eukaryote. RNAcentral describes it as "SSU rRNA". It matches the Rfam family "Eukaryotic small subunit ribosomal RNA", at positions 587 to 972 of the family's 1831-position model. The record is from RNAcentral.